Molecule: RNA transcript, 1804 nt
Organism: Camelina sativa (false flax)
Lineage: Eukaryota; Viridiplantae; Streptophyta; Magnoliopsida; Brassicales; Brassicaceae
Gene name: protein APEM9-like
Source: RefSeq, a predicted model, not a curated record
ACUUAAUUUUUAGAUGUAAAAGCUCAUUAUCUUAGCCUAAUAGCAAAUACAACAAUUAUAGUCACCUCUCUGUCUCUCCCUCGCUCCUUCUUCGUCUUCUUCUUCAAUCGAGCAUAAUAAUCAAUCAAUCAAUCAUCCUCCUCUCUUUGUUGCUUUCGUUACCUCGUGUGCUCUAUGUUUGAAGAGGCAAAAUCAUCAUCUUCAUCCAUUCUAGAAACAAUAUUUGGCAACAUUGAUGUUUUAUCUGAGGAGGAGGAAGCUCUUGGUGAUCACCAAUUGCAUGAUCUGUUGGAACCUGCUGGUAUGGUUUUAGUCCAAUCCUUGCAUGGAAUCAGCAGGUAUAGUUCCUGACUGUAGUUUCAGAUUAUCUAGUUUGGGUAAGCUUCUUCAUCCAAUGGAUGCAACUGAUCUUUGGGGAGAAAUUGAAACUUCUAAGAGGUACUUCUGAUCAUUUCCACUCAAUUUCUCAAUUUUUGUUGUUUGCUAUUUUGUGAGAAUUUUGGUUUCCGUACUUUUCAGAAAGAUCGAUCCAUGUCAUUCUUGAUGAGAAGCAAGUUAAAAUGAAGAUGCUUAUGAUGAUUUGCUCAGUACUAAUUUCGAUUGCUCUUUGUUUGAUGGGUGUAUAGUUAACUCGUGUACUCUAUGUAUGAAGAGGCAAAGUCAUCAUCUUCAUCCAUACUGAAAACAAUAUUUGGCAACAUGAGACACAUUGAUGUUUUAUUUGAGGAGGAAGCUCUUCGUGAUCACCAAUUGCAUGAUCUGUUGGAAUCUGCUGGUAUGGUUUUAGUCCAAUCCUUACAUGGAAUCGGAAGGUAUGUUUCCUGAAUCUAUUCAGAUUAUCUAAUUUGAGACAAGUUCCUCUUGAUUCUGUUUUGAAUUGGAUGCUUUAAGAGGCUUUAUAGUUUCCAACAUAUCCCUUUUUUCAUGCAGGACAGUUGAGAUUUUUUUAACUAGUUAAUUUAAUAACGGGAACAAGUGGUAGUGUGGAUCAUAUUUGUUUGGGUGGUGGGCUUGCUUUACUUAAUUGAUAGAAAAUCCCAAUAGCAAUUACCAUAAUUAUAUCAUCUCUCUCUCUCGCUCAUUCUUCUUCGUCUUCUUCAUUUGGGCUCAUCAUAAUCAAAUCCUCUUCCUCGCUUUGUUGCUUUUGGGUAAGCUUCUUCCAACAAUGGAUGCAACUGAUCUUUGCGGAGAAAUUGAAACUUCUGGGAGUGAGCAUCUUUAUGUAUAUCCUAAAUGAUGCUGGAGUAAGUGCAAAAGGGCUCCAUGGGAAAACAUCUUUGGAUAUUGAUGAGUAAUUAGAAGUUGUAGAGCUGUAUAUCUUUGGAGUUCUUGCAAAAGUUUCUGAUGACGUGGGCCUAGCCAUUUCAUGGGUUGAGAAAGCUGCAUUGCCUGAGAAAAGACGACAGAUUACAUUCUUUACUGUCUCCCAAAACAACAAACGUUCCAUAUUCUAGUUCUUUAGAGGAAGAUUCCAAGGAUUCUUCUUCUUAUGCCGUAGUGAAUAAGCCCAAGAAUUCCAAGAAUUAUGAUAUUUAUUAUGGCCUGAAUCUCUCUGAACAACAUGAACCUUCGCCACUUUGGUCAUCCCAUCCUCUAAGCCUCAAGCUUGGUAAUACCCAAUUUAGCAUGUCCAAGGGAAAGGUUACCAUAAGCCUUGUUGGAUUAAUCAUAUGUUAUGAUUUGAAGAGAAAACGAGCUGCUUUAAUACGAUAAGAAUUCUUCUAAGCAUGUUUCUGAACAUCGGUAUGUGAAUGAAAAAAUACAUUGUGAACCACAAAAUAAGCUGUGUGUGCUUGUUUACUUG